Molecule: transfer RNA, 69 nt
Filed under: Zenkerella insignis (Cameroon scaly-tail)
Lineage: Eukaryota; Metazoa; Chordata; Mammalia; Rodentia; Anomaluridae
Description: tRNA-Ala
Rfam family: tRNA
About the family: Transfer RNA (tRNA) molecules are approximately 80 nucleotides in length. Their secondary structure includes four short double-helical elements and three loops (D, anti-codon, and T loops).
Source: RNAcentral
GAGGAUUUAGCUUAAUAAAAGUGAUUGAUUUGCGUUCAGUAGAUGCAAGGUAAAUUCUUGCAGUCCUUA